RNAcentral lists this ribosomal RNA (2771 nucleotides) under human gut metagenome. Its description in RNAcentral is "bacterial LSU rRNA". It matches the Rfam family "Bacterial large subunit ribosomal RNA". The record is from RNAcentral.
AGCGUACACGGUGGAUGCCCUGGCAGUCAGAGGCGAUGAAGGACGUGCUAAUCUGCGAAAAGCGUCGGUAAGGUGAUAUGAACCGUUAUAACCGGCGAUGUCCGAAUGGGGAAACCCAGUGCAAUUCGUUGCACUAUCGUUAACUGAAUACAUAGGUUAACGAGGCGAACCGGGGGAACUGAAACAUCUAAGUACCCCGAGGAAAAGAAAUCAACCGAGAUUCCCCCAGUAGCGGCGAGCGAACGGGGAGCAGCCCAGAGUCUGAAUCAGCUUGUGUGUUAGUGGAACGGUCUGGAAAGUCCGACGGUACAGGGUGAUAGUCCCGUACACCAAAAUGCACAGGCUGUGAACUCGAAGAGUAGGGCGGGACACGUGGUAUCCUGUCUGAAUAUGGGGGGACCAUCCUCCAAGGCUAAAUACUCCUGACUGACCGAUAGUGAACCAGUACCGUGAGGGAAAGGCGAAAAGAACCCCGGCGAGGGGAGUGAAAAAGAACCUGAAACCGUGUACGUACAAGCAGUGGGAGCACCUUCGGGUGUGACUGCGUACCUUUUGUAUAAUGGGUCAGCGACUUAUAUUCUGUAGCAAGGUUAACCGUAUAGGGGAGCCGCAGGGAAACCGAGUCUUAACUGGGCGUUAAGUUGCAGGGUAUAGACCCGAAACCCGGUGAUCUAGCCAUGGGCAGGUUGAAGGUUGGGUAACACUAACUGGAGGACCGAACCGACUAAUGUUGAAAAAUUAGCGGAUGACUUGUGGCUGGGGGUGAAAGGCCAAUCAAACCGGGAGAUAGCUGGUUCUCCCCGAAAGCUAUUUAGGUAGCGCCUCGUGAAUUCAUCUUCGGGGGUAGAGCACUGUUUCGGCUAGGGGGUCAUCCCGACUUACCAACCCGAUGCAAACUACGAAUACCGAAGAAUGUUAUCACGGGAGACACACGGCGGGUGCUAACGUCCGUCGUGAAGAGGGAAACAACCCAGACCGCCAGCUAAGGUCCCAAAGUCAUGGUUAAGUGGGAAACGAUGUGGGAAGGCACAGACAGCCAGGAUGUUGGCUUAGAAGCAGCCAUCAUUUAAAGAAAGCGUAAUAGCUCACUGGUCGAGUCGGCCUGCGCGGAAGAUGUAACGGGGCUAAACCAUGCACCGAAGCUGCGGCAGCGACACUAUGUGUUGUUGGGUAGGGGAGCGUUCUGUAAGCCUGUGAAGGUGACCUGUGAGGGUUGCUGGAGGUAUCAGAAGUGCGAAUGCUGACAUAAGUAACGAUAAAGCGGGUGAAAAGCCCGCUCGCCGGAAGACCAAGGGUUCCUGUCCAACGUUAAUCGGGGCAGGGUGAGUCGACCCCUAAGGCGAGGCCGAAAGGCGUAGUCGAUGGGAAACAGGUUAAUAUUCCUGUACUUGGUGUUACUGCGAAGGGGGGACGGAGAAGGCUAUGUUAGCCGGGCGACGGUUGUCCCGGUUUAAGCAUGUAGGCUGGUUGUCCAGGCAAAUCCGGAUAAUCAAGGCUGAGGUGUGAUGACGAGGCACUACGGUGCUGAAGUAACAAAUGCCCUGCUUCCAGGAAAAGCCUCUAAGCAUCAGGUAACAUCAAAUCGUACCCCAAACCGACACAGGUGGUCAGGUAGAGAAUACCAAGGCGCUUGAGAGAACUCGGGUGAAGGAACUAGGCAAAAUGGUGCCGUAACUUCGGGAGAAGGCACGCUGGUGUGUAGGUGAAGCCCCUGCGGGUGGAGCUGAGACCAGUCGAAGAUACCAGCUGGCUGCAACUGUUUAUUAAAAACACAGCACUGUGCAAACACGAAAGUGGACGUAUACGGUGUGACGCCUGCCCGGUGCCGGAAGGUUAAUUGAUGGGGUUAUCCGUAAGGAGAAGCUCUUGAUCGAAGCCCCGGUAAACGGCGGCCGUAACUAUAACGGUCCUAAGGUAGCGAAAUUCCUUGUCGGGUAAGUUCCGACCUGCACGAAUGGCGUAAUGAUGGCCAGGCUGUCUCCACCCGAGACUCAGUGAAAUUGAACUCGCUGUGAAGAUGCAGUGUACCCGCGGCAAGACGGAAAGACCCCGUGAACCUUUACUAUAGCUUGACACUGAACAUUGAGCCUUGAUGUGUAGGAUAGGUGGGAGGCUUUGAAGCGUGGACGCCAGUCUGCGUGGAGCCAACCUUGAAAUACCACCCUUUAAUGUUUGAUGUUCUAACGUUGGCCCCUGACCGGGGUUGCGGACAGUGUCUGGUGGGUAGUUUGACUGGGGCGGUCUCCUCCCAAAGCGUAACGGAGGAGCACGAAGGUUAGCUAAUCCUGGUCGGACAUCAGGAGGUUAGUGCAAUGGCAUAAGCUAGCUUGACUGCGAGCGUGACGGCGCGAGCAGGUGCGAAAGCAGGUCAUAGUGAUCCGGUGGUUCUGAAUGGAAGGGCCAUCGCUCAACGGAUAAAAGGUACUCCGGGGAUAACAGGCUGAUACCGCCCAAGAGUUCAUAUCGACGGCGGUGUUUGGCACCUCGAUGUCGGCUCAUCACAUCCUGGGGCUGAAGUAGGUCCCAAGGGUAUGGCUGUUCGCCAUUUAAAGUGGUACGCGAGCUGGGUUUAGAACGUCGUGAGACAGUUCGGUCCCUAUCUGCCGUGGGCGCUGGAGAAUUGAGGGGGGCUGCUCCUAGUACGAGAGGACCGGAGUGGACGCAUCACUGGUGUUCGGGUUGUCAUGCCAAUGGCACUGCCCGGUAGCUAAAUGCGGAAGAGAUAAGUGCUGAAAGCAUCUAAGCACGAAACUUGCCCCGAGAUGAGUUCU